RNAcentral lists this ribosomal RNA (514 nucleotides) under uncultured bacterium. Its description in RNAcentral is "bacterial SSU rRNA". It matches the Rfam family "Bacterial small subunit ribosomal RNA", at positions 28 to 521 of the family's 1533-position model. The record is from RNAcentral.
GACGAACGCUGGCGGCGUGCCUAAUACAUGCAAGUCGAGCGGACCAAAGGGAGCUUGCUCCUGGAGGUCAGCGGCGAACGGGUGAGUAACACGUGGGCAACCUGCCUGUAAGACUGGGAUAACAUCGAGAAAUCGGUGCUAAUACCGGAUAAUAAAAAGAACUGCAUGGUUCUUUUUUGAAAGAUGGUUUCGGCUAUCACUUACAGAUGGGCCCGCGGCGCAUUAGCUAGUUGGUGAGGUAACGGCUCACCAAGGCAACGAUGCGUAGCCGACCUGAGAGGGUGAUCGGCCACACUGGGACUGAGACACGGGCCCAGACUCCUACGGGAGGCAGCAGUAGGGAAUCUUCCGCAAUGGACGAAAGUCUGACGGAGCAACGCCGCGUGAGUGAUGAAGGUUUUCGGAUCGUAAAACUCUGUUGUUAGGGAAGAACAAAGUGCCGUUCGAAAGGGCGGCACCUUGACGGUACCUAACGACGAAAGCCACGGCUAACUACCGUGCCAGCAGCCGCGGU